CGAGGUGUGGCUCAGCUUGGUAGAGCGCUACGUUCGGGACGUAGAGGCCGCUGGUGCGAAUCCAGUCACCUCGACCA
This 77-nucleotide transfer RNA is filed under the name Clostridiales bacterium. RNAcentral's name for it is "tRNA-Pro". It matches the Rfam family "tRNA". From Rfam's summary of the family: Transfer RNA (tRNA) molecules are approximately 80 nucleotides in length. Their secondary structure includes four short double-helical elements and three loops (D, anti-codon, and T loops). Lineage: Bacteria; Bacillati; Bacillota; Clostridia; Eubacteriales. The record is from RNAcentral.